UGCGGAGGGCGUGCUUUAGGACGAUGGUUUUGAACGCCACGCCUUUGAGACGCGCGGUCCGGACGUAUUGCGCGGUCAUGACCUCAGUCAUUGAGGCGCGGGUCAUCCGGGCGAUGUAGCCCAUCCCGUAAAGUGCGAUCGUGAUCACCGGCAGGAAGAAGUUCCAGAAGUUGGCGUCU
This 179-nucleotide non-coding RNA is filed under the name Thalassobacter sp. 16PALIMAR09. Its description in RNAcentral is "Ruegeria cis52 sRNA". It matches the Rfam family "Ruegeria cis52 sRNA". Rfam says of the family: Cis-encoded. Targets oligo/dipeptide ABC transporter. Functions in transport. The record is from Rfam by way of RNAcentral. Lineage: Bacteria; Pseudomonadati; Pseudomonadota; Alphaproteobacteria; Rhodobacterales; Roseobacteraceae.